RNAcentral lists this ribosomal RNA (615 nucleotides) under Triticum aestivum (bread wheat). RNAcentral's name for it is "partial small subunit ribosomal RNA". The record is from RNAcentral. Lineage: Eukaryota; Viridiplantae; Streptophyta; Magnoliopsida; Poales; Poaceae.
AUGAUCACCAACGUUUACGCCCCCUCAGACCAUGACUUGAUGGUGGAUUUUGUGGAGGACCUCCGGUCGGUCUCGUUGGGCAUCACUGGCCCCUGGCUAGUUCUUGGGGACUUUAAUCUCAUCCGCUUCCCUCACGAGAAGAAUAACAACCCCUUUGAUGCAUCUCGCGCUGCAAUGUUCAACUCCCUCAUUAACUCUCUUGCUCUGCACGAGCUCGCCCUGUCGGAUCGGCUUUUUACCUGGACGAGCAAGAGGGAUCUCCCCACUCUGGCAUGGUUGGAUUGCGUUUUAUUUGGCUCUUCUUGGGACGUCGCCUUCCCGGACUCAUGUUUGUCGUCUCGACCACAUCCUACCUCGACUCAGUGUUUGGCGGCGACAAGAAUUCCUUCCUCCUUGCGUAUUUUCUUUGAAAACGCUUGGCUCCGUGAUCCACAAUUUCUCCCCUCUACCCUCCCCUCCUGGUCGAGCACUGGGGCCGGUCGGUGCUCUGUCGGCUGCCUGGCGGCCCGCAAGAAAAGGUUCCGGGCUGCGGCCAAGGUUUGGAAAAGGCUCCACAAAUUUAUUCCUACUUUUGAUAAUAACUACAAAUUUGUGAUUGACUUGCUGGACUUCUGA